Molecule: ribosomal RNA, 829 nt
Filed under: uncultured euryarchaeote
Lineage: Archaea; Methanobacteriati; Methanobacteriota
Description: bacterial SSU rRNA
Rfam family: Archaeal small subunit ribosomal RNA
Source: RNAcentral
UUCCGGUUGAUCCUGCCGGAGGCGACCGCUUUGGGAGUUCGAUUAAGCCAUGCGAGUCGUGAGUCUUAGGGACUCGGCAUACUGCUCAGUAACACGUGGAUAACCUGCCCUAUCGUCUGGAAUAACCUCGGGAAACUGAGAAUAAGGCCGGAUAGUUCACAAUGCCUGGAACGGUUUGUGAAUCAAGGUAGGAUGGGUCUGCGGCGUAUCAGGUUGUAGGGGGUGUAAAGGACCCCCUAGCCUUCGACGCGUACGGGUGUUGGGAGACAUAGCCCGGAGAUGGAUUCUGAGACACGAAUCCAGACCCUACGGGGUGCAGCAGGCGCGAAAACUUCACACUGCAGGAAACUGUGAUGAGGGAACUCCUAGUGCAUGCACUAUGUGUAUGUAGAUCCUACUCUUAACAAGUAGAGGGAAAGGGCUGGGAAAGACCGGUGCCAGCCGCCGCGGUAAUACCGGCAGCUCAAGUGGUCGUCGCUUUUAUUGGGCCUAAAACGUCCGUAGCCUGUUUGGUAAAUCCGUGGGUAAAUCAAUCCGCUCAACGGAUUGAAUUCUGCAGAGACUGCCAGACUAGGGACCGGGAGAGGUGUGGGGUACUCGAGGGGUAGGGGUAAAAUCCUGUCAUCCUUCGAGGACCACCAGUUGCGAAGGCGCCACACUGGAACGGAUCCGACGGUCAGGGACGAAGCCUAGGGGCACGAACCGGAUUAGAUACCCGGGUAGUCCUAGGUGUAAACGCUGUGAACUUGGUGUCGGGGGUCCGCAAGGGGUCCCCGGUGCCGGAGUGAAGAUGUUAAGUUCACUGCCUGGGGAGUACGGUCGCAAGGCU